Molecule: ribosomal RNA, 305 nt
Filed under: uncultured bacterium
Lineage: Bacteria
Description: bacterial SSU rRNA
Rfam family: Bacterial small subunit ribosomal RNA
Source: RNAcentral
GCCUACGGGGGGCAGCAGUGGGGAAUAUUGCACAAUGGGGGAAACCCUGAUGCAGCAACGCCGCGUGAGUGAAGAAGUAUUUCGGUAUGUAAAGCUCUAUCAGCAGGGAAGAAAAUGACAGUACCUGACUAAGAAGCCCCGGCUAACUACGUGCCAGCAGCCGCGGUAAUACGUAGGGGGCGAGCGUUAUCCGGAUUCACUGGGUGUAAAGGGAGCGUAGACGGCCAUGCAAGCCAGGGGUGAAAGCCCGGGGCCCAACCCCGGGACUGCCCUUGGAACUGCAUGGCUGGAGUGCGGGAGGGGCG